CGAACGAACUCUGGUAUUGAUUGGUGCUUGCAUCAUGAUUUACAUUUGAGUGAGUGGCGAACUGGUGAGUAACACGUGGGAAACCUGCCCAGAAGCGGGGGAUAACACCUGGAAACAGAUGCUAAUACCGCAUAACAACUUGGACCGCAUGGUCCGAGUUUGAAAGAUGGCUUCGGCUAUCACUUUUGGAUGGUCCCGCGGCGUAUUAGCUAGAUGGUGGGGUAACGGCUCACCAUGGCAAUGAUACGUAGCCGACCUGAGAGGGUAAUCGGCCACAUUGGGACUGAGACACGGCCCAAACUCCUACGGGAGGCAGCAGUAGGGAAUCUUCCACAAUGGACGAAAGUCUGAUGGAGCAACGCCGCGUGAGUGAAGAAGGGUUUCGGCUCGUAAAACUCUGUUGUUAAAGAAGAACAUAUCUGAGAGUAACUGUUCAGGUAUUGACGGUAUUUAACCAGAAAGCCACGGCUAACUACGUGCCAGCAGCCGCGGUAAUACGUAGGUGGCAAGCGUUGUCCGGAUUUAUUGGGCGUAAAGCGAGCGCAGGCGGUUUUUUAAGUCUGAUGUGAAAGCCUUCGGCUCAACCGAAGAAGUGCAUCGGAAACUGGGAAACUUGAGUGCAGAAGAGGACAGUGGAACUCCAUGUGUAGCGGUGAAAUGCGUAGAUAUAUGGAAGAACACCAGUGGCGAAGGCGGCUGUCUGGUCUGUAACUGACGCUGAGGCUCGAAAGUAUGGGUAGCAAACAGGAUUAGAUACCCUGGUAGUCCAUACCGUAAACGAUGAAUGCUAAGUGUUGGAGGGUUUCCGCCCUUCAGUGCUGCAGCUAACGCAUUAAGCAUUCCGCCUGGGGAGUACGGCCGCAAGGCUGAAACUCAAAGGAAUUGACGGGGGCCCGCACAAGCGGUGGAGCAUGUGGUUUAAUUCGAAGCUACGCGAAGAACCUUACCAGGUCUUGACAUACUAUGCAAAUCUAAGAGAUUAGACGUUCCCUUCGGGGACAUGGAUACAGGUGGUGCAUGGUUGUCGUCAGCUCGUGUCGUGAGAUGUUGGGUUAAGUCCCGCAACGAGCGCAACCCUUAUUAUCAGUUGCCAGCAUUAAGUUGGGCACUCUGGUGAGACUGCCGGUGACAAACCGGAGGAAGGUGGGGAUGACGUCAAAUCAUCAUGCCCCUUAUGACCUGGGCUACACACGUGCUACAAUGGAUGGUACAACGAGUUGCGAACUCGCGAGAGUAAGCUAAUCUCUUAAAGCCAUUCUCAGUUCGGAUUGUAGGCUGCAACUCGCCUACAUGAAGUCGGAAUCGCUAGUAAUCGCGGAUCAGCAUGCCGCGGUGAAUACGUUCCCGGGCCUUGUACACACCGCCCGUCACACCAUGAGAGUUUGUAACAUCCAAAGUCGGUGGGGUAACCUAUUAGGAACCAGCCGC
This 1428-nucleotide ribosomal RNA is filed under the name Lactiplantibacillus plantarum. RNAcentral describes it as "bacterial SSU rRNA". It matches the Rfam family "Bacterial small subunit ribosomal RNA". Lineage: Bacteria; Bacillati; Bacillota; Bacilli; Lactobacillales; Lactobacillaceae. The record is from RNAcentral.